This 744-nucleotide ribosomal RNA is filed under the name Lactobacillus casei group sp. Its description in RNAcentral is "bacterial SSU rRNA". It matches the Rfam family "Bacterial small subunit ribosomal RNA", at positions 51 to 759 of the family's 1533-position model. Lineage: Bacteria; Bacillati; Bacillota; Bacilli; Lactobacillales; Lactobacillaceae. The record is from RNAcentral.
AUACAUGCAAGUCGAACGAGUUCUCGUUGAUGAUCGGUGCUUGCACCGAGAUUCAACAUGGAACGAGUGGCGGACGGGUGAGUAACACGUGGGUAACCUGCCCUUAAGUGGGGGAUAACAUUUGGAAACAGAUGCUAAUACCGCAUAGAUCCAAGAACCGCAUGGUUCUUGGCUGAAAGAUGGCGUAAGCUAUCGCUUUUGGAUGGACCCGCGGCGUAUUAGCUAGUUGGUGAGGUAAUGGCUCACCAAGGCGAUGAUACGUAGCCGAACUGAGAGGUUGAUCGGCCACAUUGGGACUGAGACACGGCCCAAACUCCUACGGGAGGCAGCAGUAGGGAAUCUUCCACAAUGGACGCAAGUCUGAUGGAGCAACGCCGCGUGAGUGAAGAAGGCUUUCGGGUCGUAAAACUCUGUUGUUGGAGAAGAAUGGUCGGCAGAGUAACUGUUGUCGGCGUGACGGUAUCCAACCAGAAAGCCACGGCUAACUACGUGCCAGCAGCCGCGGUAAUACGUAGGUGGCAAGCGUUAUCCGGAUUUAUUGGGCGUAAAGCGAGCGCAGGCGGUUUUUUAAGUCUGAUGUGAAAGCCCUCGGCUUAACCGAGGAAGCGCAUCGGAAACUGGGAAACUUGAGUGCAGAAGAGGACAGUGGAACUCCAUGUGUAGCGGUGAAAUGCGUAGAUAUAUGGAAGAACACCAGUGGCGAAGGCGGCUGUCUGGUCUGUAACUGACGCUGAGGCUCGAAAG